GGUACCGUGGCAGAGUGGUCUAAUGCCGGGGCCUGCAAAGCCUUCGUUCAUGGGUUCGAAUCCCAUCGGUACCU
This 74-nucleotide transfer RNA is filed under the name Candidatus Peribacteria bacterium. RNAcentral describes it as "tRNA-Cys". It matches the Rfam family "tRNA". From Rfam's summary of the family: Transfer RNA (tRNA) molecules are approximately 80 nucleotides in length. Their secondary structure includes four short double-helical elements and three loops (D, anti-codon, and T loops). Lineage: Bacteria; Candidatus Peregrinibacteriota; Candidatus Peribacteria. The record is from RNAcentral.